Molecule: transfer RNA, 69 nt
Filed under: Amitermes dentatus
Lineage: Eukaryota; Metazoa; Arthropoda; Insecta; Blattodea; Termitidae
Description: tRNA-Pro
Source: RNAcentral
CAGGGGAUAUUUUAUGUUUAAAAUAUUAGUUUUGGGGAUUAAUGAAAUGGUACUUCGCCUUUCCUCUGA